Molecule: ribosomal RNA, 254 nt
Filed under: uncultured bacterium
Lineage: Bacteria
Description: partial 16S ribosomal RNA
Rfam family: Bacterial small subunit ribosomal RNA
Source: RNAcentral
UACAGAGGGGGCAAGCGUUAUUCGGAAUUAUUGGGCGUAAAGGGCGCGUAGGCGGCUUGGCAAGUGGAUGGUGAAAAUCCCUCGGCUUAACCGAGGAACUGCCGUCCAAACUGCUUCGCUUGAGACCGGGAGAGGUGAGUGGAAUUCCCAGUGUAGCGGUGAAAUGCGUAGAUAUUGGGAGGAACACCAGUGGCGAAGGCGGCUCACUGGACCGGUACUGACGCUGAGGCGCGAAAGCGUGGGGAGCAAACGGG